CUAUACAUGACUCUGCGCAUAUCAAUAAGCGGAGGAAAAGAAACUAACAAGGAUUCCCUUAGUAACGGCGAGUGAAGCGGGAAGAGCUCAAAUUUGAAAUCUUCAAGGUUUUACCUUGACGAAUUGUAGUUUAAAGAAGUGUUUUCUGUUGGAGUUUUGGUAAAAGUUCUUUGGAAUAGGACAUCAUAGAGGGUGAGAAUCCCGUAUUUGACCAUUAUUUCCAGCUUUGUGAUACACUUUCAAAGAGUCGGAUUGUUUGGGAAUGCAGUCCAAAAUGGGUGGUAAAUUUCAUCUAAAGCUAAAUAUUGGCGAGAGACCGAUAGCGAACAAGUACCGUGAGGGAAAGAUGAAAAGAACUUUGAAAAGAGAGUUAAACAGUACGUGAAAUUGUCAAAAGGGAAGCGUUUGACACCAGUGUUGUUUAGUUGAAAAUCAAUUAAAUAUUUUUCGAUUUUAAGUAGUAUUGACCUUAUCAGCUUGCUGCUUUUUCCUCGGAAAUUAUUUAAUGCACUUUUCAGUUAACAAGUCAACAUCAAUUUCUUUUGUUGUAAAAGGGUCAUUGGAAGGUGGCUUUCUUUUCGGAGAAAGUGUUUAUAGCCUUUGACUUCUGCAGUCGGAGAGAUUGAGGUCUGCAGCGUAGAUCCUUCGGGGUUAGAUACGUUUGUGCUAAGUUAUAGCUUUUCAUAGACAACUUGUUGACUAUGUUUAGUCUUGUAGCUUACUCGCUGACGCUAUUUUACCUACGCUUAGGAUGUUGAAGAUAUGCGCGACACGACUCUAUACAUGACUCUGCGCAUAUCAAUAAGCGGAGGAAAAGUAAAUUAUACCUACGCUUAGGAUGUUGAAGAUAUGCGCGACACG
This 861-nucleotide ribosomal RNA is filed under the name uncultured Neocallimastigales. Its description in RNAcentral is "partial large subunit ribosomal RNA". It matches the Rfam family "Eukaryotic large subunit ribosomal RNA", at positions 22 to 644 of the family's 3401-position model. Lineage: Eukaryota; Fungi; Neocallimastigomycota; Neocallimastigomycetes; Neocallimastigales. The record is from RNAcentral.